GACGAACCGUGCGAACGUUAUUCGGAAUCACUGGGCUUAAAGCGCGUGUAGGCGGGAGGGCACGUCCGUUGCUGAAAUCCCCCGGCUCAACCGGGGAACGGGCGCGGAUACGACUCUCCUUGAGGGGCGUAGGGGGACCUGGAACUUCCGGUGGAGCGGUGAAAUGCGUUGAGAUCGGAAGGAACGCCCGUGGCGAAAGCGAGGUCCUGGACGACUACUGACGCUGAGACGCGAAAGCCAGGGGAGCGAACGGG
This 254-nucleotide ribosomal RNA is filed under the name uncultured bacterium. RNAcentral describes it as "partial 16S ribosomal RNA". It matches the Rfam family "Bacterial small subunit ribosomal RNA", at positions 524 to 776 of the family's 1533-position model. The record is from RNAcentral.